This 74-nucleotide transfer RNA is filed under the name Candidatus Curtissbacteria bacterium RIFCSPLOWO2_01_FULL_41_18. Its description in RNAcentral is "tRNA-Gly". It matches the Rfam family "tRNA". From Rfam's summary of the family: Transfer RNA (tRNA) molecules are approximately 80 nucleotides in length. Their secondary structure includes four short double-helical elements and three loops (D, anti-codon, and T loops). Further hydrogen bonds mediate the characteristic L-shaped molecular structure. tRNAs have two regions of fundamental functional importance: the anti-codon, which is responsible for specific mRNA codon recognition, and the 3' end, to which the tRNAs corresponding amino acid is attached (by aminoacyl-tRNA synthetases). tRNAs cope with the degeneracy of the genetic code in two manners: having more than one tRNA (with a specific anti-codon) for a particular amino acid; and 'wobble' base-pairing, i.e. permitting non-standard base-pairing at the 3rd anti-codon position. The record is from RNAcentral. Lineage: Bacteria; Candidatus Curtissiibacteriota. RNAcentral also lists the same sequence under 1 other name.
GCGGGUGUAGUUCAAUGGCAGAACACCAGUUUUCCAAACUGGAUACGGGAGUUCGAUUCUCCUCACCCGCUCAA